UACGAAGGGGGCUAGCGUUGCUCGGAAUCACUGGGCGUAAAGGGUGCGUAGGCGGGUCUUUAAGUCAGGGGUGAAAUCCUGGAGCUCAACUCCAGAACUGCCUUUGAUACUGAAGAUCUUGAGUUCGGGAGAGGUGAGUGGAACUGCGAGUGUAGAGGUGAAAUUCGUAGAUAUUCGCAAGAACACCAGUGGCGAAGGCGGCUCACUGGCCCGAUACUGACGCUGAGGCACGAAAGCGUGGGGAGCA
Molecule: ribosomal RNA, 247 nt
Filed under: uncultured bacterium
Lineage: Bacteria
Description: partial 16S ribosomal RNA
Rfam family: Bacterial small subunit ribosomal RNA
Source: RNAcentral